RNAcentral lists this transfer-messenger RNA (361 nucleotides) under Campylobacteraceae. RNAcentral's name for it is "Campylobacter_B corcagiensis Standard tmRNA". It matches the Rfam family "transfer-messenger RNA". From Rfam's summary of the family: Bacterial tmRNA, also known as 10Sa RNA or SsrA, is named for its dual tRNA and mRNA-like properties. Its role is to liberate the mRNA from a stalled ribosome. RNAcentral also lists the same sequence under 1 other name. The record is from RNAcentral. Lineage: Bacteria; Pseudomonadati; Campylobacterota; Epsilonproteobacteria; Campylobacterales.
GGGGGUGACUUGGCUUCGACAGGAGUAGAGUGGUCACGGUGGCAUGUCGCUUUGAGCAAAGCGUUAAAAGCUCAAAUUAAAAUUAAACGCAAAUAACGUUAAAUUCGCUCCUGCUUACGCAAAAGUAGCGUAAGUUCAGUUGAGCCCACUAACUUUUGAUACUAUCUAGAAAGUUUUAGUGGUCAUUUUGAUAGUGUAGUUUAGAUGUUUGACGAACAUUUAAGUGAAAUUUUAGUCUUAGUCUAAGAUUUUGGUUUUUGAAAAGUGAGCCUUUUUAGAUGAAAUUUUCACUUUUGCUAAGCAUGUAGAGGCUUUGGUCUUUUGCUUUUGGACUGCGGUUCGACCCCGCACACCUCCACCA